UAAGUGUAGUUUUCAAAAACAAUAAUAAAUAGUGUAAUUUUCAAAAGGUAUUUUUCCAAAUUUUCCCAAAAAAAAAAACUGUUGGGAAUUGAGAUGAGUUUUUUCUUGAAAUAUUUUCACUCUAGGACACAUUCCUCAUCUUUAUUUACAUUCCAAGACACAUUGUUAUACUGACACACUUUCCUCAACUAAUUUUCUUCCUUUUCGUUAGAACUCAAUCAUAAGGCAACUAAUUAAAUUUUCCUUUGGCGGGAUUAGCCCACAACCAUUGAUCUUCUUAAAGCUCCAACGGUUGAGAUUUUACUUGGCAGAUCUGGAAAAAACAUAUAUAUGCUAUUUAAUAAUAACCAUUCGAUCAAUAUCCCUCUCUCUUAUUUUCAACGGUCCAGAUUUAGUUCUACCUAUAACAUUAUUCUCUUUCUUCUCUCCCCCAACGACGUCGACUUUCUCUGUGUUCAUCGAGGAAAAAAAAAUCUAAACUUUGUUAACUAAUCCAAGAUUUUUAAUCCUGAUUAUUGGAUUCUAAGUGGUGGUUUGUGAGAUAACUUUGUUUAAUAAUUUGUUUUACUGUAAUUCCAACAUCUUAAUUUUGGUUGAAUAACAACUCUGUUUUUUUUUUGUUUUAGGUAUCUUCCAUGGUAAAGCAUUGUAUAAUUAUCGCCGGCGAAUAGUAGACGUCCGACGACAGCAGCGGGAAUGUGUUGCAGGAGUUCUUUGUCAACACCGAAGCUCCCCCCCCCCUCCGCCUCACUGAGCUAUUGACCGCAUAACACCAAGGAACUUAUAACCAGAAUCUUCACCAAACUUUUUUGAUUCCUAAAUUUAGCAGAACACCACAUGAUUUUUUUCAACCUCUCA
This 858-nucleotide long non-coding RNA is filed under the name Brassica napus (rape). RNAcentral describes it as "long non-coding RNA (BNAP_LNC012204)". Lineage: Eukaryota; Viridiplantae; Streptophyta; Magnoliopsida; Brassicales; Brassicaceae. The record is from RNAcentral.